GAAGUCAUGAGUAGAAGCCAGGGAGGCAUGAAAGAAAAAGUCUUGUGGCACCCACACCGAGAAGAUGCUAAGCAGAGAUGUGAGGAAACAAAGCUGAGAAUUGAGGGACAAUCCAAGGGAAAGAAGUGGACUGGGAAAUCGGUUCUCCUGGCCUGGAAAAGACACGUCACCACAGGAAAAAAUCUGGCUCCAGAGAACAAUUUAUUUUAAUAUGCCUCAUUUUGCUAUUUCAUUAAUUCAGAAAUACUUGGCCUUUUUUUCUACUGUUACUGUGGAGGCAUAAUAGGAAAUGUAAACAUACUGGUACAAAAUAAGAAAUAACUUAUUUAUAUGGCAGGAAGACUAGAAAAAUCACAGCCAUUUUCUUCUUCUUACUAUAAGCUCUAAUUUUCCAUGAUACUGCUCUACAUACAGGAUCUUUAUUUAAAAAAACCUGAAGUGAUGAUAUUACAUUGCCACAUCAACAUUUGAAAUUAAAUGAUCAAUGGGUGAUAUAAAAAUGGCCAGCACAUGGUACAUUUUGUAAUACUUUAAGUCACAUUGUUGAGAUCCUUGAUAAAGAUAUGAUUUGCUUUUAAUCUGGCACCAUCAUUUAUUUUGGGCAAAGCUAGAAAACAAAUAACAUAAUUUGCAUAAUGAAACCAUUGAGAGAAAAAUCACUGUAAUUUGUCAGAGGUAUCUGCACCAUUUUGACUUACAGUUUAAAUUCAUUCAAGUUUAUUUCUUUCCUUACCCCAACUAAACAAUGCUUUUGAUUUAUUCUUGCCAUUUAGUGUCAUAUAAAAUAAAGUGUUCCACUAGGAGGAGAAAUAAUUUGUCAAGUAGAAACUAUAUUAAAUGAAACAUUCUCUCUGAUAUGUUUUUAAUUUGUUUUAUUCCCAUUUUGCUAUUGCAAUUUUCCCACCUGCCAAUGGAGAUAAGGGGCUGUUUCAUUCUUUCUCUUUUGGCUCGCGAAGGCCACACGCUUGUUUUGUUAAGGAGAGUCCACCUAUCACCAGGAGGGACAGAAGUCAGCUCAGGAAGGGAGACCCUGCCAGGGGACUCAGCCAUGAGACUUUGCAAUUAUAAGCUAUUCCUUAAGCCACAGAAAGAAAUGAAGAAAGGAAGAGGGGAAGACAGAAAGAAAACAAUUAUCACUUGGUUUAGUGACCACGUGUGUUGAGGACAGGAAUAGAAAAAAGAAGGUACAUGUCUAAGAAGGAUUUAAAAAUGUCAAGGAAAGAACAAUGAGAUGAGAAAGAUUAAAGUCAGAGGGAGAAGCCAUGACCUUGAGCAAGGAUGCGCUUUUCAGCCAGGACACUUAACAAAGAGGGCUGACAGCUGUCAGCACUUCCAGAAGCUGGUAAAAUAAGACCUUCAUUCUUAAAGGGACAUCUUGGCAGAAUACCAAUGACUAUUCUAGUCCACUGCUUAUACCACUCAGAUACACAUCUUCAUAUACAUACUGAAAAUCAAUCUUCUAGGAUCUUAGUAGGUUUCUUUUGCUGGCAGAAUGUUGUAAGAUUAAGGUUGAUAGGAUAAACUGGUACCCUUGCAGAAACAGCUAGUUGCAAGAUCUCAAAUGAUAUUUAUCAUCUCUCUUCUUCACUAUCCACUUUAGAUUUUCCUCAUCAUCUGCUGGUCUUGGUGGCUUCCCAGUGGCAUGGUGGUGACCAUCCUGAGCUCCUGGCCACCCUGUCCUCUUCAAGCCAUAGCUGCACUUGUCCAUUUAUCAUCAAACGUAGGCAAAUAGACCACAUGGGUGCCAAACAU
This 1752-nucleotide long non-coding RNA is filed under the name Homo sapiens (human). RNAcentral describes it as "HSALNT0346040". The record is from RNAcentral. Lineage: Eukaryota; Metazoa; Chordata; Mammalia; Primates; Hominidae.